This 546-nucleotide long non-coding RNA is filed under the name Ornithorhynchus anatinus (platypus). Its description in RNAcentral is "lncRNA (ENSOANG00000038971.1)". The record is from RNAcentral. Lineage: Eukaryota; Metazoa; Chordata; Mammalia; Monotremata; Ornithorhynchidae.
AUGUUAGACAAAAGGCUAUUUCCGUGUGAUCGGAAGACAUCUCCCAGUUUUCCGGAGCAAAUCCGACUGAUUGAGCACACUUAUUAUAUCUUCAGUCAUUCCAAAGAAAAGUUACACUGGGUGAAGGCUGGUUUUUCCAUCCCAGUAACAAGACCUCCAUCGUGUGCGUGUGUACGUGAGUGUUUCCGAACACGUUCCGUUCCAAGAGACCUGGAAAAGGAAGUGGAAGCGAACCCAAUAUUUUGGGACUGCCUGUCUACACUGGAUCACUUUACACUUGCUUUCCAUGUCACCAGAAGGUUGGAAGGCAACGGGUACAGACCCUUCUAAUGGUCUCGUCUAAUCAAUUCUAGCAGAUCUGAAACCUGUCAAGACAAGAUCCUGUCUGUCUUAAAUCUAACGAUGUAUAUUUUGAACUCGAGGAAGCCCCGAAGAGAUCCUUUUAUGGUGAACUUUUUCUUUCCAGCUUGUAGAGGAAGCCGUCUUGCAGGAUUUUUUUUCCUCCCCUCGGUAUAAAUUUUUUAAAUUUAAUUUUAAAUAAAUCAC